CAGCGGUCCCCUUCCAAGGAGCUGGGACUACAGGCACCAUGAUGGAUCCUGGGAAUGAUGAUAAUGAACGCAAUAGAUACAGCCUCUAUUCUUAGACAUCUUGCAUGUAUCAGGGAAGACAGGCACCAAGGCAUACUUACAACCAAAGCAUUCCACGACCAUGUGAUCCAGGAGAAUUCCAGGGUCAAGAGCCAGGGUAUUGGAAGCCAACCUGUCUACAGGUGACCAACACUGAACUUACUUUGGGAAACACUGUUCUAGGGUAAGAGGUCUCAUGUAUUUUUGGUGGGGAGAUCUUUUCAUGACUGAAAGACUCAAAAGGCCAUUUUUAUCCUCUGCCG
RNAcentral lists this long non-coding RNA (341 nucleotides) under Homo sapiens (human). RNAcentral's name for it is "non-protein coding lnc-CARD11-5:3". Lineage: Eukaryota; Metazoa; Chordata; Mammalia; Primates; Hominidae. The record is from RNAcentral.